AGAAACUAGGGUUUUCGAAGUGAAACUUACUUGAAAUGGGUAUCAUCGUGAUCGUAUGGUCUUCAGGAGUACGAUGGCACUCUUAAAUCCGUCGUUGGUGGAAGUUUAGGGUGUUUUUGUGGUGGUCUUGGUGGUUGCCGUGUGUUCGAGAGGGUGAGAGAGAGAGAUCUGAAAUGGAAGAAGAAGAGAGAAAAGGAAAGGUUACGGAAAAUGGGGAGGAAAUUAGGGUAUAGGACCCUACCUAAAGUCCAACACAACAAUAGCUUAGAAAUUUUAGGUAAAACAAACACCAAAAUUACGCACCUUAAUCCCGUUUAAGGGCGUUUUUGUAAUUUCACGUCCUCGGAAUUAAAAAUUCCGGGACGGGCUGUGACAAUCUCCCCUCCUUAUAGAAUUUCGUCCCCGAAAUUCCAGCCACCAACCAAACUCUCAAUACUAAAAAAAUAGCCUCGGAUACAUAUCUCUCAUCCGUUCUUUUGUCUCCCAAGUAGCUUCUUCUGCUGAAUGGUUCAUCCACAAUACUUUUACCAAGCUCACGAUCUUAUUCCUCAGAGUCUUAUCUUUCCAAUCCAGUAUAGUCACUGGUUCCUCAUCAAGUCGAAUCCGGAUUAAUCUCCAAAGGUUGAACCAGAAUCUUAUGCGACAAAUCUGCCACCUAGUGACAACGCAUCGAACACA
This 678-nucleotide long non-coding RNA is filed under the name Malus domestica (apple). RNAcentral's name for it is "long non-coding RNA (MDOM_LNC009637)". The record is from RNAcentral. Lineage: Eukaryota; Viridiplantae; Streptophyta; Magnoliopsida; Rosales; Rosaceae.